UUCUUUUUAAAUCUCAACAAAGCAUGAAGAAGGUAAUGAAUGCCAGAAUUCAAAGAUGUCGGCUGCGAUUGUUCUACUAAAGAUUCGAAGAUAGCAAUCUGUUUCAAUAUACAUAAACCUGCACUUGCAAAGCAAAAUCAUUAACCUUCAGUCCAUAGAUUUUAUUGAGAAUUAGGGAUCAAGAAGAGAAUGGCAAAUCAAUCUUCAGUUAAGAGUUCAUGGCCGGAGAUCGUCGGGGCCAACGGGGACUCUGCAGUGGCUACCAUAGAAUAAAAAUGUGGAAGCAAUCGUGAUCAAGGAGGGAAUGCCUGUGAUUCUGGACACCAGAUUGAACAGCGUCUGGGUUUGGCUUGAUGAAAAUGGGGUGGUCACUCGAAUUCCUACUAUUGGGCUAUUGGCUAAACAACAAAUAUAUGAUAUAUUAUCUUAAAUAAAUAAAAAAUUAGAUAAUAAAACAGCCACUCUAAAUAAACGGUCUUUGUCAUUUGUGACUUGAAAAAUAAAAACUUAUGUUAGAUGUGUGUAUCUUGUAUAUCUAAUUAAAUAAAAUUGAUUAAUGGGUUCAUUACUUUUUUUUUA
Hevea brasiliensis (rubber tree) is the source of this 579-nucleotide long non-coding RNA. RefSeq lists it as uncharacterized. The transcript has 2 exons. The record is from RefSeq and is a predicted model, not a curated record. Lineage: Eukaryota; Viridiplantae; Streptophyta; Magnoliopsida; Malpighiales; Euphorbiaceae.